UACGUAUGGUGCAAGCGUUAUCCGGAUUUACUGGGCGUAAAGGGAGCGCAGGCGGCGCGCCAAGUCAGUGGUCAAAUUGAGGGGCUCAACCCCUUCCCGCCAUUGAAACUGGCGAUCUUGAGUGGAAGAGAAGUAUGCGGAAUGCGUGGUGUAGCGGUGAAAUGCAUAGAUGUCACGCAGAACCCCGAUUGCGAAGGCAGCAUGCCGGCUUCCUACUGACGUUGAAGCACGAAAGCGUGGGGAUCGAACAGG
Molecule: ribosomal RNA, 252 nt
Filed under: uncultured bacterium
Lineage: Bacteria
Description: partial 16S ribosomal RNA
Rfam family: Bacterial small subunit ribosomal RNA
Source: RNAcentral